GACGAACGCUGGCGGCGUGCUUAACACAUGCAAGUCGAACGAAGUGGCGAACGGGUGAGUAACGCGUAAUCAACCUGCCCUUCAGAGGGGGACAACAGGUGGAAACGACUGCUAAUACCGCAUACUGAAGGAGGGGAUUGCGUCUGAUUAGCUAGUUGGAGGGGUAACGGCCCACCAAGGCGAUGAUCAGUAGCCGGUCUGGGAGGAUGAACGGCCACAUUGGGACUGGGACACGGCCCAGACUCCUACGGGGGGCAGCAGUUGGGAAUCUUCCGCAAAUGACGAAAGUCUGACGGAGCAACGCCGCGUUGGUGAUGACGGGCUUCGGGUUGUAAAGCUCUGUUAAGCGGGACGCGGUACCGGAAUAGAAAGCCACGGCUAACUACGUGCCAGCAGCCGCGGUAAUAC
RNAcentral lists this ribosomal RNA (408 nucleotides) under uncultured bacterium. RNAcentral's name for it is "partial 16S ribosomal RNA". It matches the Rfam family "Bacterial small subunit ribosomal RNA", at positions 28 to 526 of the family's 1533-position model. The record is from RNAcentral.